Molecule: ribosomal RNA, 780 nt
Filed under: Seirophora contortuplicata
Lineage: Eukaryota; Fungi; Ascomycota; Lecanoromycetes; Teloschistales; Teloschistaceae
Description: mitochondrial SSU rRNA
Rfam family: Bacterial small subunit ribosomal RNA
Source: RNAcentral
AUAGCCUAACGGUUGAACCAGCAACUUGGAGGAAUGUAUAGCAACUGCUAGUUGCACUAAAAGCUUUAGUGUGAAAUCAACUUAGUUGAAUAAAAUUCUGGGUAGUAUUAUGAUAAUGACAUUAUCUGUCCAUAAGUCUUGACCAAAUUACGUGCCAGCAGUCGCGGUAAUACGUAGAAGACAAGUGUUAUUCAUCUUUAAUAGGUUUAAAGGGUACUUAGACGGUAAAUCAAGCCUUAAAAAGGGACUAAUCUGCUAGAGUUUUAUGUGAAAAAGUAUUAAAGUACUGCUGGUGUAGAGAUGAAAUUCUGUCAUACCUUGAAUGGCACAGGUUAAGGCGAAAGCAUCUUUUUAUGUAAAAACUGACGUUGAAGGACGAAGGCUUUGUGUCUCGAACAGGAUUAGAUACCCUAGUAGUCUAAGCAGACAAUGAUGAAUGUCAUAGAUUAGAUGUAAUUUGAUCUAUAAAUGAAAGUGUAAGCAUUCCACCUCAAGAGUAAUUUGGCAACAUUGGAACUGAAAUCAUUAGACCGUUUCUGAAACCAGUAGUGAAGUAUGUUGUUUAAUUUGAUAAUCCGCAAAAAACCUUACCACUUUAAUUUGAAUAGAUAUAUUUUAUCAUACAAGCGUUGCACGGCUGUCUUCAGUUAAUGUCGUGAGACUUUGGUUAGUUCCAUAAAAUUAACGUAAACCCUUACUUUAUUUACUAAUAAAGUAGUUCACCGCUAUAUUGGAUAUGAUAACAGGGAUCAAGACAAGUCAUCAUGACCUAAAUAUUGU